RNAcentral lists this ribosomal RNA (1031 nucleotides) under Salmonella enterica subsp. enterica serovar Thompson. Its description in RNAcentral is "partial 23S ribosomal RNA". It matches the Rfam family "Bacterial large subunit ribosomal RNA", at positions 398 to 1426 of the family's 2925-position model. Lineage: Bacteria; Pseudomonadati; Pseudomonadota; Gammaproteobacteria; Enterobacterales; Enterobacteriaceae. The record is from RNAcentral. RNAcentral also lists the same sequence under 1 other name.
UGUGAGCUCGAUGAGUAGGGCGGGACACGUGGUAUCCUGUCUGAAUAUGGGGGGACCAUCCUCCAAGGCUAAAUACUCCUGACUGACCGAUAGUGAACCAGUACCGUGAGGGAAAGGCGAAAAGAACCCCGGCGAGGGGAGUGAAAAAGAACCUGAAACCGUGUACGUACAAGCAGUGGGAGCACAGGUUUACCUGUGUGACUGCGUACCUUUUGUAUAAUGGGUCAGCGACUUAUAUUCUGUAGCAAGGUUAACCGAAUAGGGGAGCCGGAGGGAAACCGAGUCUUAAUUGGGCGUUAAGUUGCAGGGUAUAGACCCGAAACCCGGUGAUCUAGCCAUGGGCAGGUUGAAGGUUGGGUAACACUAACUGGAGGACCGAACCGACUAAUGUUGAAAAAUUAGCGGAUGACCUGUGGCUGGGGGUGAAAGGCCAAUCAAACCGGGAGAUAGCUGGUUCUCCCCGAAAGCUAUUUAGGUAGCGCCUCGUGAACUCAUCUCCGGGGGUAGAGCACUGUUUCGGCUAGGGGGCCAUCCCGGCUUACCAACCCGAUGCAAACUGCGAAUACCGGAGAAUGUUAUCACGGGAGACACACGGCGGGUGCUAACGUCCGUCGUGAAGAGGGAAACAACCCAGACCGCCAGCUAAGGUCCCAAAGUCAUGGUUAAGUGGGAAACGAUGUGGGAAGGCCCAGACAGCCAGGAUGUUGGCUUAGAAGCAGCCAUCAUUUAAAGAAAGCGUAAUAGCUCACUGGUCGAGUCGGCCUGCGCGGAAGAUGUAACGGGGCUAAAUCAUGCACCGAAGCUGCGGCAGCGACACUCAGGUGUUGUUGGGUAGGGGAGCGUUCUGUAAGCCUGUGAAGGUGUGUCGUGAGGCAUGCUGGAGGUAUCAGAAGUGCGAAUGCUGACAUAAGUAACGAUAAAGCGGGUGAAAAGCCCGCUCGCCGGAAGACCAAGGGUUCCUGUCCAACGUUAAUCGGGGCAGGGUGAGUCGACCCCUAAGGCGAGGCCGAAAGGCGUAGUCGAUGGGAAAC